RNAcentral lists this ribosomal RNA (270 nucleotides) under Triticum aestivum (bread wheat). RNAcentral describes it as "partial small subunit ribosomal RNA". Lineage: Eukaryota; Viridiplantae; Streptophyta; Magnoliopsida; Poales; Poaceae. The record is from RNAcentral.
AUGGUGUGGGCGCCGGAGAGUGCGACCAUGUCGGUCACGGUGAAGCCCUUGCCGCCGAAGGACUGGGUGAGGUUUACGAGGUCGAAGAAUGGGGGAGGUAGCUCGUUGUUCGCCGCCGCUUCGUUUGCGUUGGUGGAGUCCCUCCUUCCUAGAGGAACUGUCCACGAAGGCCCUCCCAGUCUUACGGCGACGACGGAGUCGCGGGCGGCGACGGUGAGGAUGUGGCGCAGGAGACAGUCUGCUUGCACAUGGUCUCGAGCUGCGCCUUGA